AUUGAACGCUGGCGGCAGGCCUAACACAUGCAAGUCGAACGAGUGGCGGACGGGUGAGUAAUGUCUGGGAAACUGCCCGAUGGAGGGGGAUAACUACUGGAAACGGUAGCUAAUACCGCAUACCAUCGGAUGUGCCCAGAUGGGAUUAGCUAGUAGGGUGGGUAACGGCUCACCUAGGCGACGAUCCCUAGCUGGUCUGAGAGGAUGACCAGCCACACGGGAACUGAGACACGGUCCAGAUUCCUACGGUAGGCAGCAGUGGGUAAUAUUGCACCAUGGGCGCAAGCCUGAUGAAGCCAUGCCGCGUGUAUGAAGAAGGCCUUCGGGUUGUAAAGUACUUUCAGCGAGGAGGCGUUACUCGCAGAAGAAGCACCGGCGAACUCCGUGCCAGCAGCCGCGGUAAUAC
This 406-nucleotide ribosomal RNA is filed under the name uncultured bacterium. RNAcentral's name for it is "partial 16S ribosomal RNA". It matches the Rfam family "Bacterial small subunit ribosomal RNA", at positions 30 to 526 of the family's 1533-position model. The record is from RNAcentral.